Molecule: ribosomal RNA, 497 nt
Filed under: uncultured bacterium
Lineage: Bacteria
Description: partial 16S ribosomal RNA
Rfam family: Bacterial small subunit ribosomal RNA
Source: RNAcentral
GAUGGACGCUGGCGGCGUGCCUAAUACAUGCAAGUCGAGCGAACAGACGAGGAGCUUGCUCCUCUGACGUUAGCGGCGGACGGGUGAGUAACACGUGGAUAACCUACCUAUAAGACUGGGAUAACUUCGGGAAACCGGAGCUAAUACCGGAUAAUAUAUUGAACCGCAUGGUUCAAUAGUGAAAGACGGUUUUGCUGUCACUUAUAGAUGGAUCUGCGCCGCAUUAGCUAGUUGGUAAGGUAACGGCUUACCAAGGCAACGAUGCGUAGCCGACCUGUGAGGGUGAUCGGCCACACUGGAGCUGGAACACGGUCCAGACUCCUGCGGGAGGCAGCAGUAGGGAAUCUUCCGCAGUGGGCGAAAGCCUGACGGAGCAACGCCGCGUGAGUGAUGAAGGUCUUCGGAUCGUAAAACUCUGUUAUUAGGGAAGAACAAAUGUGUAAGUAACUAUACACGUCUUGACGGUACCUAAUCAGAAAGCCACGGCUAACUACGUG